GCGCCCGUAGCUCAGCAGGAUAGAGCACCAGAUUCCUAAUCUGGGGGUCACAGGUUCAAAUCCUGUCGGGCGCACCA
This 77-nucleotide transfer RNA is filed under the name Iodidimonas nitroreducens. RNAcentral's name for it is "Kordiimonadales bacterium JCM 17846 tRNA-Arg". It matches the Rfam family "tRNA". From Rfam's summary of the family: Transfer RNA (tRNA) molecules are approximately 80 nucleotides in length. Their secondary structure includes four short double-helical elements and three loops (D, anti-codon, and T loops). Lineage: Bacteria; Pseudomonadati; Pseudomonadota; Alphaproteobacteria; Iodidimonadales; Iodidimonadaceae. The record is from RNAcentral.